Molecule: ribosomal RNA, 560 nt
Filed under: Pseudomonas sp. 27(2013)
Lineage: Bacteria; Pseudomonadati; Pseudomonadota; Gammaproteobacteria; Pseudomonadales; Pseudomonadaceae
Description: bacterial SSU rRNA
Rfam family: Bacterial small subunit ribosomal RNA
Source: RNAcentral
CUCCACGAUUCAGCGGCGGACGGGUGAGUAAUGCCUAGGAAUCUGCCUGGUAGUGGGGGACAACGUUUCGAAAGGAACGCUAAUACCGCAUACGUCCUACGGGAGAAAGCAGGGGACCUUCGGGCCUUGCGCUAUCAGAUGAGCCUAGGUCGGAUUAGCUAGUUGGUGAGGUAAUGGCUCACCAAGGCGACGAUCCGUAACUGGUCUGAGAGGAUGAUCAGUCACACUGGAACUGAGACACGGUCCAGACUCCUACGGGAGGCAGCAGUGGGGAAUAUUGGACAAUGGGCGAAAGCCUGAUCCAGCCAUGCCGCGUGUGUGAAGAAGGUCUUCGGAUUGUAAAGCACUUUAAGUUGGGAGGAAGGGUUGUAGGUUAAUACCCUGCAAUUUUGACGUUACCGACAGAAUAAGCACCGGCUAACUUCGUGCCAGCAGCCGCGGUAAUACGAAGGGUGCAAGCGUUAAUCGGAAUUACUGGGCGUAAAGCGCGCGUAGGUGGUUUGUUAAGUUGGAUGUGAAAGCCCCGGGCUCAACCUGGGAACUGCAUCCAAAACUGGCAA